AUGACGGGGCUUCUCAUGGUAGUUGACGCGGCAAUAGGAUGGCUGGUGCAAACCAUCCUUGGGAGCUUCUUCACUGAACAGAUUGAAGCCUGGGCUUGUGAAAUUGGGCUUGCUGAAGAUGUGGAGAAGCUCAAAUUUGAGAUGAGAAACGUGGAGAUGGUUCUUGCUGCUGCCGAGGGAAGGAGGAUUGAAAACAAGCCUCUGGCACGUUCACUGGAUGAUCUCAAAGAGCUGCUUUAUGACUCGGAGGACGUGAUGGACGAGCUCGAUUACCACCGACUCCAGCAGCAGAUCGAAGAAGGGAAAGGUUGUAGUGCUCCUAGUGGUGUUAAUCCUGAGGGAAGCUACGUGUCCUCAUCAGCUCCAUCUUCUGCUUAUGAAUUAGUAUGCAGUGCCACAAGCCAAAUGACUAGUUGGGCCUCAUGCAGCAGAAAAAGGAAGCGUGAAGAGGAGGGGCCAGCUCAAAGUACUAUGCUGACUUCUGAGAUUAAACAUGACAUUUCUCAGAGGAUCAACAGAAUAGUGAAAGGUUUAUGCACUAUUGGCAGUUCCGUGCAGAGAGUUCUUCAGCUUGAGGUCUCGCGCCCCACUGCAACAUCACUUGAGAGUCAGAAUAUUUCCAAUAAUGCUCGGCUGACAACUUCUGUUCCAGUUGAAGUUAAGAUGUAUGGGAGGGAGUCAGAGCGAGACAAGAUAAUAGAGCUGUUGACAGAGGGGGGUUCUAGUGAUCUGAAUGUUUUGCCGGUGGUUGGCAUUGGUGGUGUUGGGAAGACAACUCUUGCUAGAUUUGUAUGCAAGGACCAAAGAAUUAGAGAUCAUUUUGAUCUGCAAAUGUGGGUUUGUGUAUCCACUGACUUCAAUGAAGUGAGGAUAACACGUGAGAUCCUAGAGCAUGUAUGUGAAAAUAGACAAGAAUAUGAAAAUAUAAGCAAUUUCAAUGUACUGCAGAAGAACCUUUUGAAGAAUAUCAAAAACAAAAGAUUUCUGCUCGUAUUGGAUGACAUGUGGGAAGACAAGGACAGGAAUGGAUGGAUUAAACUCUUGGCUCCAUUGAAAGGUAAUCAAGCAAGUGGUUGCAUGAUACUAGCAACAAUUAGAAUGAAUUCAGUUGCAAAAAUGAUACAAACGAUGGAUGAAGUCAGAUUGAGUGGCCUGAAUGAAAAGGAGUUUUGGCUGUUAUUCAAGGCAUGUGCAUUUGGUAACAAGAACUACGAGGGUGAUCCUGGUUUGCAGUCUAUUGGGAAACAGAUUGUGAAAGCACUAAAGGGCUGCCCACUAGCCGCACAAAGAGUUGGUGCACUUUUGAACACAAGUGUUAGUGAUAAGCAUUGGAGGGCAGUUCGGGACAAAUGGAGAUCUCUUCAACAAGAUGCUAAUGAUAUUUUACCCGUCUUGAAGCUUAGUUAUGAUUAUCUUCCAGUCUACCUUCAACGCUGUUUCUCGUACUGCUCUUUAUUUCUAGAGGAUAAACGUCUUCAUGGGAAAGAAUUGGUUCCUGCUUGGGUAUCACAGAAUUUUGUGCAGUGUGAAGACCCUACGAUGAAAUUGGAGGAAACAGGGCAGCGAUAUUUGGAUAGAUUAGUUGAUUUGUGCUUCUUCCAAAAGGUUGGCUCACGUUAUGUUAUGCAUGAUCUAAUGCAUGAAUUGGCAGGGAAAGUUUCCUCAAAUGAGUGUGCAACUGUACAUGGAUUGAAACAUGAGGAAAUUCGACCAAGUGUUCGCCAUUUGUCAAUCAUAACUACUGCUUUUGAUAAAGAUAAAGCUGGCAGUUUUCCUAUUGAGAAGUUUGAUGAAAUACUUCAGAAGAUUGGACCUUUGCAAAAAUUGAGGACUUUGAUGUUGUUUGGGCAAAGCAGCAUACAUUUAUUAGGGUCCUUGCGUACUUUAUGCAAGAAGGCAAAAUGUUUGCGGUUCCUAAGAAUUUAUGUGACAGAUGCUGACAUCAGCUCUAUACAUAGUUCUUUAAAUCCAUACCAUCUUCACUAUCUUAAAUGUAUUCAUGAUGUCAUUAUAAACAGAUCAUUGUAUAGAGGCUACAACAACGCUGUGUUUCCUCAAGCAUCGACAAGAUUUUAUCACCUUCUAGUAUUGAAUAUUGGUAUUUCAGGCAAUUUUUCUGUGCCUACUGAUAUGCAUAAUCUUAUUAAUUUGCGCCAUCUUCUUUCUCAUUGGAAAGUGCAUCAAGCAAUAGCUUGUGUUGGAAACAUGACCUCUCUUCAGGAACUAAGUUUCAAGGUUCGAAAUGGUGGUAGUUUUGAGAUAAGAGAACUUCAGUCCCUGAAUGAACUUGUACUACUUGAAAUUUCUCAACUUGAAAAUGUGAAGACUAAAGAAGAGGCUAGUGGAGCCAGGCUAUUAGACAAAGAGUAUCUAGAAACAUUAUCCUUGUCAUGGCAGAUAACAGCACGAGCCUUCAAACAGAGGCAGCAAAGGAUGUGCUGGAAGGUCUUCAACCACAUCAGGACCUCAAAACUCUAA
Molecule: ribosomal RNA, 2478 nt
Filed under: Triticum aestivum (bread wheat)
Lineage: Eukaryota; Viridiplantae; Streptophyta; Magnoliopsida; Poales; Poaceae
Description: partial small subunit ribosomal RNA
Source: RNAcentral